CGGGCUGCGGGCUUAGCGGCGCCGAGGGCGGGAGCAAACAGGCAGCGGCGGGGACGCCUCUCUCUGCGAGGUCCUGCCGACAUCUGGGGGGUGGCCCGGCGCCGUGGCGUGCCGGGUGCCCGUCCUGUCCCGGGUGCAUCCCCGCCGUCCCCGCUCUCCCCCGGCCGGGGGAAAUGGAGGAAAACACAAAAGAUCAGGGCAGAACAGUCUGCCCGCAGCCGGGAGUAGUCAGCAGGAGCCAGCAGCUGCUCUUUGCCAGUAAAGACUGUGGAGCAUCAGGGAGAAUAUUUGGCAUAAAGAAAUGAAAGGCACGAGGGAAGCUUCGUAUUCCCAAGGGAAUUCUUUGGGCACCACCUGCAUCUUCUGAACUGCACCGAUAAUCCCGACUCUGGCAGAAACCUUCCAAAGCUGGAAGGAACAGGGAAGAAAAUUCCAGGAGCAGUGGGAAGUGCUUUCUCACAGGUCACGGUGGUGUUGAGGUUCGCAUGAGUUCCAGACAUUCAUAGGGCCUCUCCUGUUGCCUGCCCAGGACGGAGGCGGUGUUCCUUGAGUGGCUGCAGUUCCCUGCAUGUGGAGGGAGCAGGUCCGUGCUGGAGAGUGGGAGAAAGGUCCCUGCUGCUUGCCGUGUCCUUGGUGGGCAGGCAGCUCUGCCCUUGGCCGGAUGGGCUGCCGAUUUCGAAGCAUUCUGCAGAGAUCUGCCUGGGAGGAGAAGCAGAGCCAAGGACUGAGAACUGACAUGUGAGCUCCGGUGAGGACUGCCGCUCCCCCUGCCUUGGUGUGGGACCUCCUGAGCUCCCCUUCCUGUGCUGGGAGUGUUUCUCCUCUCAUCCAGCCAAGCCAGAGACCUCCUAGGGAACAAGCAGGGAAGGUUUAAGUAUCGAGAUCUCCCAUGUAAGAAGCGACAUGACAAAAGGAAAUGGCCUCAAGUUGCAGCAGGGAAGGCUUAGGUUGGAUUUGAGGAGAAAUUUCUUCACUGGAAGGGUGGUCAGGCCUAGGAGCAGGCUGCCCAGGGAAGCCCCCAUCCCUGGAGACAUUUCAAGGGUGUCCAGAUGUGGUGUUUAGGGACCUGGUUUGGGAGGGGCUUGGCAGUGCUGGGGCAACAGCUGGGCUCAGUGACCUUAGAGGCAUUUUCCAACCUAAAGGAUCCUAUGGUUCUGAAAAGCCUUGACCCCUCUGGCUCUAACACAGCAUCUGGAUGCUGACAAAAAGAAGGCUGGUCAUAGACAUUCGAGGUCCCUAUCCCACAGGGAGGGGACAAGCCGGUGUCACCUGCAGGGAGGGUCUCAUCCCCAGAGAGCAGUCAGUGACUCCAUCCCUGCCUGGGGCUCUGUGUGCACCCUCGGAGUGGACACCUGCCCUCAGGUUUCCCUCUGGGCAUUCGGGGAGAGAACCAGGUCCAUCCAUGUGACAGCUCCAGGGCUUGCAGGCUUUUGGGCCUUGCAGCUGUGCGCCUUGUCACAAGGUGGCAGGGACAUGACACUGCCUGGAAACGCUCCUGGCCUUGGAUCCUUGCUGCUUUCCUCCUUAA
Long non-coding RNA from Serinus canaria (Common canary), 1528 nucleotides. RefSeq lists it as uncharacterized. Lineage: Eukaryota; Metazoa; Chordata; Aves; Passeriformes; Fringillidae. The transcript is spliced from 3 exons. The record is from RefSeq and is a predicted model, not a curated record.